Molecule: ribosomal RNA, 500 nt
Filed under: uncultured bacterium
Lineage: Bacteria
Description: partial 16S ribosomal RNA
Rfam family: Bacterial small subunit ribosomal RNA
Source: RNAcentral
AUUGAACGCUGGCGGAAUGCUUUACACAUGCAAGUCGAACGGCAGCACGGACUUCGGUCUGGUGGCGAGUGGCGAACGGGUGAGUAAUACAUCGGAACGUGCCCAGUCGUGGGGGGUAACGUAGCGAAAGCUACGCUAAUACCGCAUACGAUCUAAGGAUGAAAGCGGGGGAUCGCAAGACCUCGCGCGAUUGGAGCGGCCGAUGGCAGAUUAGGUAGUUGGUGGGGUAAAGGCUCACCAAGCCGACGAUCUGUAGUUGGUCUGAGAGGACGACCAGCCACACUGGGACUGAGACACGGCCCAGACUCCUACGGGAGGCAGCAGUGGGGAAUUUUGGACAAUGGGCGCAAGCCUGAUCCAGCCAUUCCGCGUGCAGGAUGAAGGCCCUCGGGUUGUAAACUGCUUUUGUACGGAACGAAAAGGCUCUGGUUAAUACCUGGGGCUCAUGACGGUACCGUAAGAAUAAGCACCGGCUAACUACGUGCCAGCCGCCGCGGUAA